AGAGUUUGAUCCUGGCUCAGGAUGAACGCUGGCGGCGUGCCUAACACAUGCAAGUCGAGCGAAGCACUUUACUUUGAUUCUUCGGAUGAAGAGUUUUGUGACUGAGCGGCGGACGGGUGAGUAACGCGUGGGUAACCUGCCUCAUACAGGGGGAUAACAGUUAGAAAUGACUGCUAAUACCGCAUAAGACCACAGCACCGCAUGGUGCAGGGGUAAAAACUCCGGUGGUAUGAGAUGGACCCGCGUCUGAUUAGCUAGUUGGUAAGGUAACGGCUUACCAAGGCGACGAUCAGUAGCCGACCUGAGAGGGUGACCGGCCACAUUGGGACUGAGACACGGCCCAAACUCCUACGGGAGGCAGCAGUGGGGAAUAUUGCACAAUGGGGGAAACCCUGAUGCAGCGACGCCGCGUGAGCGAAGAAGUAUUUCGGUAUGUAAAGCUCUAUCAGCAGGGAAGAAACUGACGGUACCUGACUAAGAAGCACCGGCUAAAUACGUGCCAGCAGCCGCGGU
This 513-nucleotide ribosomal RNA is filed under the name Ruminococcus sp. M10. Its description in RNAcentral is "bacterial SSU rRNA". It matches the Rfam family "Bacterial small subunit ribosomal RNA", at positions 8 to 521 of the family's 1533-position model. Lineage: Bacteria; Bacillati; Bacillota; Clostridia; Eubacteriales; Oscillospiraceae. The record is from RNAcentral.